This 467-nucleotide ribosomal RNA is filed under the name uncultured bacterium. Its description in RNAcentral is "partial 16S ribosomal RNA". It matches the Rfam family "Bacterial small subunit ribosomal RNA", at positions 29 to 507 of the family's 1533-position model. The record is from RNAcentral.
ACGCACGCUGGCGGCGUGCUUCACCCCUGCAAGUCGCACGGAAAGGCCCUGCUUUUGUGGGGUGCUCGAGUGGCGAACGGGUGAGUAACACGUGAGUAACCUGCCCUUGACUUUGGGAUAACUUCAGGAAACUGGGGCUAAUACCGGAUAGGAGCUCCUGCUGCAUGGUGGGGGUUGGAAAGUUUCGGCGGUUGGGGAUGGACUCGCGGCUUAUCAGCUUGUUGGUGGGGUAGUGGCUUACCAAGGCUUUGACGGGUAGCCGGCCUGGGAGGGUGACCGGCCACAUUGGGACUGAGAUACGGCCCAGACUCCUACGGGAGGCAGCAGUGGGGAAUAUUGCACAAUGGGCGGAAGCCUGAUGCAGCAACGCCGCGUGCGGGAUGACGGCCUUCGGGUUGUAAACCGCUUUCGCCUGUGACGAAGCGUGAGUGACGGUAAUGGGUAAAGAAGCACCGGCUAACUACGUG